This 469-nucleotide long non-coding RNA is filed under the name Zea mays. Its description in RNAcentral is "long non-coding RNA (ZMAY_LNC001288)". The record is from RNAcentral. Lineage: Eukaryota; Viridiplantae; Streptophyta; Magnoliopsida; Poales; Poaceae.
AUCCUGAAGGAAGGCCAGGUAGACCAUAAUGUUUCUCACGGUAAAUAAAUUUUCGACAGUAUCUAACAACUUUCUGUAAGGUCAUUGACAACUUUCUGUAAGAAGGUCAUUGACAACUUUCUGUAAGGAUGUCCUUGACAACUUUCUGUAAGGAGGUCCUUGACAACUUUCAGUAAUAAAGUCCAAUCAUCUAAAUUGUGCAGUCAAUAAUAAGCAAGAAAGAAAUAAGAGUUGGAUGUUGCAAUAGUUUCUCCUGGUUUUCAGUUCCGAACCUUUUACAAGAAACGACUUCACUUCACAAUCACAUGCACACAUCUGCGCAUACUUCACGAUCUACAGAAUUCCACGACAGAGUAACACAAAUAGAUCGGUCGUGACGAGCAAUUCACUAUGCACGCCUGUGGGCAUGUCACGUCAUAUGCCCGUCAGCCACAGUUCUAGACUAAUUAGCCCCUUUGUGAAACUCAGA